Oncorhynchus tshawytscha (Chinook salmon) is the source of this 1579-nucleotide long non-coding RNA. Lineage: Eukaryota; Metazoa; Chordata; Actinopteri; Salmoniformes; Salmonidae. The record is from Ensembl.
GUUACAGAAUACUGCCACACCAUCUGGAAGCAGCAGAAGAAAAGGACAUCUCCCAGACGGUCGACGAACAGGGACACCUACCCUGCCAACACCAUGAUCAGCUGGUGCAACUGGGUGCGGCUAUUGAUGAGGUCCUCUUCGUCCUCCACCACCUCGACACCACCCGAGAGGAUUCACCUCCAACUAGUGGAGGGCCUCCUACCACGAGUCAUCCCAGCAUACCCAGCAAUCUGUCCAAGUCAGCGAUGCUAGUAUGAUGGGACUCUAUCCAAAUACAGUGGCUUCCUACUCCAGUGCUCCCUCUAUUUCACCCAUCAGAUGGGAGCCCCUACCACUGAGGUCCAAGAUUGUCGCGGUCAUUUCCCUUGCUGACUGGGUGGGCGUUGGAGUGGGCUACAGCCGUCUGGGAGACAGGAGCGGAAGAGCUGGAUUCCCACGAAGUUCAUAGCUCUGUUCAGGGCGUUCUUCGACCAUCCAUUGGAGGGCAGAGAGGAAGGUGAGCGACUAAUUGUACUCCGGCAGGGUGCCCAGACUGCUGCGGAAUAUGCUCUCACCUUCCAUGGCAGCCUCCAGCGGAUGGAAUGAGCUGGUGCUCCGCACCAUAUUCCAAAGUGGACUCAGCAAGGAGGUCCAGAUGGAGUUGGCAUGUCAGGAUGACAACCUUUCGUUGGAUGUGCUCAUCGCGAUGGCCAUCUGUCUGGACAUCCCCUCGCCCUCCUCCUUUGGCCGUCCUGAGGCAUAGCCUGAACCCAUGGAGGUAGGGGCCACACACCUCUCCGCGGCAGAGCGGCGUCGCAGGAGACAGCUGGGGCUAUGUUCCUAUUGCGGCCAGAAUGGGCACCAGCUUCAGCGGUGUCCGGUACCUCCCAACCCACGGUCCACAGGGAGAGAUGGGCGGUCCCGUGAUCAUCCGUCUCCUGGGAGAGGAACUUUGACUUCGGCGAUCGGGAGCUCCAGGCAGUGAAGUUGGCAUCAGAGGAGUGGAAACACUAGCUGGAGGUGACCAAAGACCCAUUUCUUAUCCUCACCGACCAUCGGAACCUGGAGUACAUACGGACAGCUAGGCGGCUUAACCCAUGCCAAGCAAGGUGGGCCCUUUUCUUCACUAGAUUCAACUUCACCCUGUCAUAUCUGCUAUGUUCAAAGGCCAUCAAAGCCGAUUCUCUGUCCCGUCUCUACGAUUCGGGAGAGGAUCCUGUCCUGAGUGCGCCCAUCAUUCCGCCCUCCCGAGACGUUGCCCCCGUGCUUUGGGACACAGACGUGGACAUCCACCAGGCUCUGGAGAGGGAACCUGUGCCUACUACCAGUCCUCCAGAGCGCACCUGCGUCCCCACAGAGCAGGUCUUCCGGGUACUAUGACCUUCUGGAGGACAUCGUCUCCGACCGUGGCCCCCAAUUCACGUUGUGGGUAUGGAGAGCCUUCGUGAAGAAGUUUGGGGCCACGGCCAGCCUCACAUACAGACUGGUGGUUCCUGGUCCCCUGGCUGGUGUCGUCCCCUGUGACACCCCUCCACCUCCCAUGGACAUCGAUGGGACCAGGACGGUCCGGACGGGACCCAACAGCACUCCUCUGGGCCGC